AAAGUCGUAACAAGGUUUCCGUAGGUGAACCUGCGGAAGGAUCAUUAACAACGUAUCCUAAACGUAAAAAACCCCCCCUGUGAACUUUCAUAACCCGAGCUUGCUAGGCCCGCGAAAUUCAGCAAUCCCUGGUAAAUCAUUGUUGACCAGCUCUUUGAGUCAGGGAUAUCCGAACUAGUCGUGUGGAUUAAGUUCCGUGAAGCAAGAGCGGUGAGGCAAGUGACCCGGUACCCCCAAGCAAUCAAUGUUCUGUCAGUGUCGUUGAUUGUGUAAGGGUGGCGCAGUAAACGAUCGCUGGAGGCCACCACGGCCGGCGACUGGGUCAGCGAGCUCUGCUCCUUAAUAACCCCACCUAAGGAUUAGCUCGGCGAAAGCUUGAGCACCAAAAACUAAUACGACUGUUAACAAUGGAUAUCUUGGUUCUC
This 425-nucleotide unclassified non-coding RNA is filed under the name Cercozoa sp. RNAcentral's name for it is "partial contains small subunit ribosomal RNA and internal transcribed spacer 1". The stretch from base 1 to 47 matches the Rfam family "Eukaryotic small subunit ribosomal RNA", at positions 1785 to 1831 of the family's 1831-position model. The record is from RNAcentral. Lineage: Eukaryota; Cercozoa.